GCUGCAGAAUAUAGAACUUUCUCAAUUUGUAAAAAUAUUCGAAUAAUUCGACGUGAUACAAGAAAAAUCAAAUCCGAACCGAUCCGACAAAAAACCUGCAAAAUCCGAUCCGACAGAAACAAAACGAAAUCCGAUCCGAUCCGAGUAAUUUACUGUCCGAAUCCGAUCCGAAUCCGAUCGGAUUCGGAUCGGAUUCGCACACCUCUA
Paramuricea clavata is the source of this 207-nucleotide non-coding RNA. The record is from the annotation of a GenBank genome assembly. Lineage: Eukaryota; Metazoa; Cnidaria; Anthozoa; Malacalcyonacea; Plexauridae.